AACAAAUUCCAAAUUACAGCCCCGAGAGCUGAUCAUUAUUUAAUAGAUCGAUAACAUGGUAUAGCACACAUCUUAAAGUACAGGAAGCAGGAAGUACACCAUACUGGCUGAAUUAUAACCCAACUCAAGGCAACAAGUUUAUUUACGUAGAUAGAAAUAGAUAUGCGGGGAUGCGCGCAACGGUAGGCGACUCGGCAGUGCUGCUACUCGUCGUUGAGUGGCUUGGGGUCGCACUUGUGCUUGCAAAAGUUGAGGAUCCAGUCCCUGCACGAAAACCAAUGGACCAACGUAAAAGCAUCUCAUAUGAGAGGAUAAUGGUAUACACAGGCUGAAAGCCAUGCCAAUAACGAGAUUACAAACAAAAAUAUCAUGGCACUGGAAUAUAAUGAAAAGUAGAAUUUUGUGCUUGUUUAGUCUUACUAGCAAUUUUUAGUUUUUUAUUUUUGUUUCUGAAAAAAAAAACCU
This 465-nucleotide long non-coding RNA is filed under the name Elaeis guineensis (African oil palm). Its description in RNAcentral is "long non-coding RNA (EGUI_LNC002616)". The record is from RNAcentral. Lineage: Eukaryota; Viridiplantae; Streptophyta; Magnoliopsida; Arecales; Arecaceae.